UGGAAUUCUUAUUCAGGCACCGCCAAGGGCACCUUGGGUCUUCGAAGGCGGCUUGUAGAUAGCUGGGGUCCUUGCCUGCGUUGUUUUUCAGGCAGCCCCAUAGACAGCAGGGCUGGGGGGCUUUGCUGCCACUACUGAUCAGGUUGCCGCCGCUGGUGGAGAUGUUGCGAGCGCGCGCUGCUGUCGCGCCUGUCCCCGGGAUGGGGAUGGGGGUGGGGCUCGGGGGUGGUGGCUCUGAUACACUGGCUGGCUGCUUGUAAUGGGCAAAGAGGCGAUUCGCGGGGAGCAGGCUGGUGGGGGCUGCGCCCUGGGGCGUCUCCUGUCCCUAGGAGAAGCGGGCACUUUAGAUUUCUACGUGGACUGGCUCAGGAAAAGGCAUUUGAGGGGUCCUAGAGCUACGACUUCACCCAGGAUUCUGCCCAAAUUGAAGCAUCUUGUCUUGAAAACGAAUGGAAGAUAAUACAUGUUCAUCUCCAUCACUUUGCUUCUGUAUCUGAUCUUACCACGUGCUUUGUCUCUUCAAGCUUUAAAAGAUCUUACUUCCAUAUCUGCAACAUCCUCCCAAGGAUGUGAAUAGAUCACUUCAUCUUAUUGCUGUUAGCUUCAUGGAUCUGCAUAUGGUUCAGUGCUCAGAGCUUUUUCAAACAGUGGCCUGGAAUAAGAGCAGAAUUUUGGUAGCUUUUACUGUUGCUAUUCAGAAUCUGAUCCCAUAUGUAGCAGUGGAACUGACAAGAACUAUGUCACUUUAACCCUGCUACUUGGAAAAAUCCUGAGUGGCAGCAAAAGAAACUACGGGAGAGGGAAAUUCAGAGUAUGAAGGAAGGUGGAGGAUAGACUAGUAGAACAACUUUAAGGUUAGGGGCUGGUAGAGGGAAUGCUCCUUCUUUUGCAGGGGGAAUAUAUGGGGAGGGAGCUUCAAAACUGUCAGACACCUACUAGCAAGCAGCUGACAUAAAAGAUGGAGCCCUUGAGUAGGGUAAAGGGACAACACCAUGGUAGGCAGCAAGUUGGGAAGGGUAGUUGGCUUUUCACUAGGUCAUUAAGUUGGUCAGUGAGCUUCCUUCUGUCUUUUUAUUUUGGACUCUGUCUACUGAGUUUAAUCUUUUGACUAGUUGGUAUCUGGUAAAUUUUUCAAACCCUGCUUUAGAACUUCAUCCCAUUUCUUUAACAUCACUUACUCAGUAUUCACUGUAUUUCCCACUUUUCUGAUGGGGAAACUGAGGCACUAAGAUCAUAAUCAAGCUCUAUCUUCUGUGGCACUGUAACUAAAUCUUAUAGCAGGAAUCACAAAUUAUGCUUCAGUAUUAAUUUACUCUAUAAUCAUGGAAUACUCUUCAUUCCUAUGGCUAACUGAAUGUAAAUUUAAUGAUUAUUUUCAAUUAUGGUUUUUUUAAAAUGCACUGUCAAGGUUGUCCAUCUUCCUGGGCUUCUGUUGUACUAAAGUACAUGCAAAUUGCUUCACAUGAAUCUUUUUCUUAUGUUUUUUUUUCUGUAGUGAAUUAUAAAUUGAACAAGUCAGCACUGGUGCAGUGACAACGUAUUAACUAUUUUGUAGUAAUAAAGAGAAUUUUUUAAGAGCUACUUAACUUAUUCUGCUCCUGGUAAUGCUGGUUGGGCCUCAACUCAUGUACAAUGAAUGUUCAGGAUAUUGACUACUAAAACUUUGGAGGAGAAAAGAACAAGAAAGGUACAGUAAAUAGAACAAGACCAAUAGGAAUACCGCAUUGUUGAAAUUAGGAAUUUUUCCCCAGUUCACAUUGCAGUGAUCUAGUUAAUAUUUGCUGAUACACACAUCUAUAUAUCCACUUCCAUAUUUACUCAACAAAUCUACCUUGACUAUAGCCACCUGUAAUUCUUCCUGUUAAGUUGGCCUCUUAUUCCUCUGUAUGCAGUUACCAAACAGUUUCAUAGCUAUGAGUCAGUAAACCCAGUUUAACUCGAGUGCCCACCCUGAAAAUAUGCACUAUUAGAAAAUGCUACAUAUUGUCCCAUUAUUUGUGUCACUGGAGCACUUAGAGACUCAUGUCAAGAUUAGGAUCAUCGUACUGGCAUUUUACAGAUCUGUAGUGAUAGGCGGUCUCUGCCCUGAAGAUAUGAUGAUCUAAAUAUCUAAGUAUAUUUUGGACAGUGCAUCCUAAUGUAGAUGACUGGUUCCUAGGCAUGAGGGGGCAGAGUUGAGAUGUUUCUGGAGCCUUAUCUCUCUAUAUCCUGACUUUCACACAUGCUUGUUUUUUAAUAACUGUGGUCUAAUAAUGACAUGAUGUAUCCAAGGCUUUAGGGUGAUUCUUAAAACACUGUUAGUGUCUGUCUAAAUUGUAAAAACAAAAUCAUGCUUUAAUUAUGUUGAGAUGACAGUGUAACUGAAUCCUCUGACAAUUCAAUGUAUAGCGCAGACAGGAUCGUGAAAGAUAUUUAAGGGUUAGUUUCAGAAUGUCACAAAUUGUGAUAUCACAAAGUGCUUGCUGGAAUUUGUGUUGAUUUGUGACUAUUAAAACUGCUAAUAAGACAA
Molecule: long non-coding RNA, 2509 nt
Organism: Trachemys scripta elegans
Lineage: Eukaryota; Metazoa; Chordata; Testudines; Emydidae
Exons: 2
Source: RefSeq, a predicted model, not a curated record